RNAcentral lists this long non-coding RNA (649 nucleotides) under Vulpes vulpes (red fox). Its description in RNAcentral is "lncRNA (ENSVVUG00000010345.1)". Lineage: Eukaryota; Metazoa; Chordata; Mammalia; Carnivora; Canidae. The record is from RNAcentral.
CUCAACUGUUUAGCAAUGUGCCAGGACUAGAGGACAGCUAAGACCUCCGAGUUGAGACUGCAAGUCAUAAAGGACUUUGUGAGGUAUGGUACCCCUGCAACCUAGCACAGUGCAUAGCAUGUAGAAGACCCUCAUUAAACAUUUCUUAUCUGAAUGAAAAUGUUACAAAAUGCAUUGUGAAAUACCUACAAUGUCGAAAGAAAGAUUAUCUGGGUCCGGCUCAAGAUUGUUCAUUAAAGGUUCUUUCCAGAAUUAUCUGGUAUUCAGCUACAACACAGAAGGGCUUUAAUUCCAGGUAUGAAAGUGGAUUUUCUCUGAAGACACACUUCUGGAGAGCUGAAGGUCUGCUUUUUCCUCAGAUAAGGAGGAGGCACUCAGGGCAAGUGGGCAAAGAGGGGGUCCCCCCCAGGGACUUUGGUCUUGAAGUCCAGCCUAGCAGAGAAGAAGGCAGUUUGCCAUUGUUUGGGUUGGUGAAUGCAUGGCCCUGGAGCAGGGCCUGGGUUGGUGUGGUCUUCCAGCUGGACAGUAAGCGGCAGUGGCAGGGCUGUCUCUCAGGAUUAAGCUCCAUGAGUGUACCUCCAGGCUAUGUCCUGGGAUAGGAAAGCCCUCAGUUAAUAAAUGAAGCAGAAAGCCUUGCUCUCUGUGUUCC